AACAACCUUCAGGGCGGGGUGAAAUUCCCCACCGGCGGUAAGCUCGAGAGAGUAAGCCCGCGAACUUCGAUGAGGAGCCGAUUUGGUGCAAAUCCAAAGCCGACAGUAUAGUCUGGAUGGAAGAAGGUUCAU
Regulatory RNA element from Tepidanaerobacter acetatoxydans Re1, 132 nucleotides. It matches the Rfam family "FMN riboswitch aptamer (RFN element)". Rfam says of the family: The RFN element is a highly conserved domain that is found frequently in the 5'-untranslated regions of prokaryotic mRNAs that encode for flavin mononucleotide (FMN) biosynthesis and transport proteins. Lineage: Bacteria; Bacillati; Bacillota; Clostridia; Thermosediminibacterales; Tepidanaerobacteraceae. The record is from Rfam.